Molecule: long non-coding RNA, 684 nt
Organism: Lagenorhynchus albirostris (white-beaked dolphin)
Lineage: Eukaryota; Metazoa; Chordata; Mammalia; Artiodactyla; Delphinidae
Exons: 5
Source: RefSeq, a predicted model, not a curated record
GGGGACCCGGCCUGAGGAGCAGGGGAGGGAGCAUCGAGACUAGGGCAGCGCGAAAAGUAGGUGGUUUGGAGAGUUGGGGGUUUCCAGAAGGCGUUUACUGACUGAUCCAAAUAAAACAUCUGGUGUGUUCCAGCUUCCCUGAACAUGGUGAGCAACAGCUGCCUCCCCAUAGCACCUCUGGGAUCCUCUGACAAGCCAGAUCCAUGCCUGGCCCAAGACAAGCUGCCUUGGCUUCCCUGCAGGAACCUGCCCUGGGAGGGACAUGGCUACUGGGCAGUACAAGAUGUGGACUCUCCUCCUUCAGGGCUCUGGUUCUUAGAGGCUGAGGAUGGUGGUACACUCACAAACCUCAAGAUCCACCUGGUUGAAUAUGACUGCCGGGAUCUUCAAACAUCUUAUACACCAAAACCCAAAGAAGAGAAGCCUGCCCACUGCAAUUUGCUGGAAGUACUUGUAUAAAUGGCUCAUUCUGUCUGCCAGUCGUUCUACACACCCAACCAUCGGUGGAAAUCUUUGAAUCUUAUCAGUGGACGGGAGUUUUAAAAUUUUGUUACUCAACCCACUUAAUUUACAGCUAAACAAGAGUGAAGGUUUUGGAGAAGGGAGGAAGGGGAGAGAGACCUGGUGCUAUUUUUCCCAUGUGACAGAAGGGAGUUUACCAAGAAACAGAAGAUGGAUACCACA